UGGGGAAUAUUGCGCAAUGGGGGAAACCCUGACGCAGCGACGCCGCGUGCGGGAUGAAGGUCUUCGGGUUGUAAACCGCUUAUGAUUGGGAGCAAGCUUUCGGGUGAGUGUAUCUUUCGAAUAAGCGCCGGCUAACUACGUGCCAGCAGCCGCGGUAAUACGUAGGGCGCAAGCGUUAUCCGGAAUUAUUGGGCGUAAAGAGCUUGUCGGCGGUUCGUCGCGUCUGGUGUGAAAGCGCAUGGCUUAACGGUGGGUUUGCGCCGGGUAAGGGCGGGCUAGAGUGCAGUGGGGGAGACUGGAAUUCUCGGUGUAACGGUGGAAUGUGUAGAAAUCGGGAAGAACACGAAUGGCGAAGGCAGGUCUCUGGGCAGUUACUGACGAUGAGAAGCGAAAGCGUGGGGGGCGAACAGG
This 411-nucleotide ribosomal RNA is filed under the name Bacteroidota bacterium. RNAcentral describes it as "Bacteroidetes bacterium partial 16S ribosomal RNA". It matches the Rfam family "Bacterial small subunit ribosomal RNA", at positions 355 to 776 of the family's 1533-position model. The record is from RNAcentral. Lineage: Bacteria; Pseudomonadati; Bacteroidota.